CAAAAGGGGGAGGAAUG
This 17-nucleotide ribosomal RNA is filed under the name Gibellula pulchra. Its description in RNAcentral is "Torrubiella arachnophilus partial 28S ribosomal RNA". Lineage: Eukaryota; Fungi; Ascomycota; Sordariomycetes; Hypocreales; Cordycipitaceae. The record is from RNAcentral.